This 253-nucleotide ribosomal RNA is filed under the name uncultured bacterium. RNAcentral describes it as "partial 16S ribosomal RNA". It matches the Rfam family "Bacterial small subunit ribosomal RNA", at positions 524 to 776 of the family's 1533-position model. The record is from RNAcentral.
UACGGAGGGGACUAGCGUUGUUCGGAAUUACUGGGCGUAAAGCGCACGUAGGCGGAUUUGUAAGUCAGGGGUGAAAUCCCGGGGCUCAACCUCGGAACUGCCUUUGAUACUGCAAAUCUCGAGUCCGGAAGAGGUGAGUGGAAUUCCUAGUGUAGAGGUGAAAUUCGUAGAUAUUAGGAAGAACACCAGUGGCGAAGGCGGCUCACUGGACUGGUACUGACGCUGAGGCGCGAAAGCGUGGGGAGCAAACGGG